UUGACAGAACGAGCUAAAACAUACUACCUAUAACCUUUUAAGAAAAAAAAAAACGGAGUUUACUUGUUUAGUGCACAUAUAUGUAAAGAGAAUUUGAGGUUAUAUAUUAUAUGAAACAAUAUGUCAUCUGUUACAAUCUUGAAUUUGUUCCACAAGCGCCCGGAAAAUGGAGAUACAUUAUGGCGAAUGUGGCCCUUACGGGGUAGACACAGUCAAGAGUUGCGGAACUCGUUUAACUUUUUAAAUUCGCAGAACUUUAGCUGCAAACGAAUUCGAGUGAAUGAUUCAUCAGAAGGUCAAUUAUUGGUCGAUUUUGUAAUGGUCUUGGUUUUAUUUUUCUGUCUUGGGAUUAUAGAUUUAACAACGACUUUAAAACCUCUGUUAAUUUUAAUGGUUAACUGACGCCUGAUUUAGACAACAAUAGUGAAACUGGGUUUUAUUGGUGGAAUUGGAUGUUAAUUAAAUAGAAGUAUUCUUUUUUUUAUGUUGCUCUCAGGUCCCACUGCUGGGCAAAAGCCUCCCCUCUUUGUUUCAAACCACUUCUAUUCCCCGCCAGUUGUUGCCAAUCUUUAUCGAAGGCCGACAGUUCGUCAGACCAUCGCACCUUCGGCUUGCCUUGCGAUCUUUUCCCAUCAUCAGUCUCUUCUUUCCCAUCUUUCCGGCGCCAUGCGGCUCACAUGACCCGCCCAAUCCCAAGAAGUAUUCUACGUUACUGAAAUAAAUAUUUUAACCUUCUUAA
Plodia interpunctella (Indianmeal moth) is the source of this 739-nucleotide long non-coding RNA. RefSeq lists it as uncharacterized. The transcript has 2 exons. NCBI's taxonomy places the organism in Eukaryota, Metazoa, Arthropoda, Insecta, Lepidoptera, Pyralidae. The record is from RefSeq and is a predicted model, not a curated record.